GACGAACGCUGGCGGCGUGCUUAACACAUGCAAGUCGAACGGAAAGGCCCUGCUUUUGUGGGGUGCUCGAGUGGCGAACGGGUGAGUAACACGUGAGUAACCUGCCCUUGACUUUGGGAUAACUUCAGGAAACUGGGGCUAAUACCGGAUAGGAGCUCCUGCUGCAUGGUGGGUGUUGGAAAGUUUCGGCGGCUUGGGUUGGACUCGCGGCUUAUCAGCUUGUUGGUGGGGUAGUGGCUUACCAAGGCUUUGACGGGUAGCCGGCCUGGGAGGGUGACCGGCCACAUUGGGACUGGGAUACGGCCCAGACUCCUACGGGAGGCAGCGGUGGGGAAUAGUGCACAAAGGGCGGAAGCCUGAUGCAGCAACGCCGCGUGCGGGAUGACGGCCUUCGGGUUGUAAACCGCUUUCGCCUGUGACGAAGCGUGAGUGACGGUAAUGGGUAAAGAAGCAACGGCUAACUACGUG
This 468-nucleotide ribosomal RNA is filed under the name uncultured bacterium. RNAcentral's name for it is "partial 16S ribosomal RNA". It matches the Rfam family "Bacterial small subunit ribosomal RNA", at positions 28 to 507 of the family's 1533-position model. The record is from RNAcentral.